Marchantia polymorpha subsp. ruderalis is the source of this 184-nucleotide non-coding RNA. Lineage: Eukaryota; Viridiplantae; Streptophyta; Marchantiopsida; Marchantiales; Marchantiaceae. The record is from the annotation of a GenBank genome assembly.
AGAUAAGAGCAGUUACUGUUAAAGAGUUGGAUUUACUAUGGCCAAGUGCAAGCUUGUCAUUUCCGGAUGCCAAAAUUCUGACUCGAAUAUCCGUUCACAAGGAAUUUUGGAUCCGGAAUUAAUGAACUUGCGCUUGGCUAGGAUAGUAAAUCCAAAGAUCAAUGACGGCCAACGCCUCUUUUCU